This 12236-nucleotide long non-coding RNA is filed under the name Triticum aestivum (bread wheat). RNAcentral describes it as "long non-coding RNA (TAES_LNC016247)". Lineage: Eukaryota; Viridiplantae; Streptophyta; Magnoliopsida; Poales; Poaceae. The record is from RNAcentral.
UAUAAUGAAAAGCGAUCUUCUUUGAGAUAUAUAUUUUUCCUAUUUACCAAGCAAACCACGGAGGAGUAUUAUAACAAACUGCAUGAGACAACAAAGUGAGCUUCAAAGCCACAUCUAUCUGAUAAAGACACUCUGUUUCUUCCUUAUUGAAUGCGGUGAACCACAAGACUCCUCGAAGUGGGCUGCAUCAACCUUUUAUUUUUUUCAUGAAAAUGAACAUAUCCAACAUGACAAACGAACUGCACUAGACCGGAUUUAAACAAAAACAAAAGAGUGUUAAAACAAUUCAGGAAGUGAACUACCUAAAAAGAUGACCCCCAUGGAGGAGCGAACCUCUCCAACAUACACAGUGAACCCCUCAUAAAAACGACCACGUGUGCAUAGUCCAAGGGAACUGCCCGUGCACACGCGAGUUCACCGGAAAACCGUCGACGCCAUGGGCCAAAUUGCACGUCCCGUUGGUCAAGCUGCACUCCUACGUGCGCAAAACUGCAUGGUGGGCAGGGCAACCUGAAGUCAGGUGGUUUCAUGGAGGAAUUACCAUAGCCAUAGGUAGGAAACGGUGAAAAAUUUAUAGGGGAGUGAGAUCACCUAGUCACCCAAGACUGAUGAGCACUAGCCCAGGAAUCCUUUUCAUCGGUUUCUGCAAAACAAACAGAAAUCAAAGACAAAGAAGCACAAAUCUAGCGGUCAGCUCGGAUUGGAACAAAAGGUAUAUCAUACAUAAAUUCUUCGGCUGGCGCACACAAGGAAGCCAAAUUCUGAAUCGACAAGGCAAGUUGACCAAGUAAACUACACUUUGUCUCGAAAUAAUAAACUGAACUUCACGAGCACCUUACUUUUUUAACAAGUUUCUCUAACAGCUUUUUUGGGAACUUCAAUCAUAUUUGUUUGUGAACUUCAGUCCACUUUCAGGCUGCAGGUGGGACAAUACAUGGGAGUCCCACCUCCAACCCACCUGAUCCCACUAUGUUUAGUGGGAGUAACUCGACACCCCAUCAAAACAUGCAUAAAUUAUAUGGGCUCAAGUGGGAUCCCAUUUAGCAAAUGGAAGAUUGAAACAUAAUACUCCAGUACGCACUAGUUUAGCAUCCAUCUGCCGAGUCCACAUUACAGUGUCACCCUUACUCCUCUGUUCUCUGUAAUUUUGCUUCUUUCGUUUUAGUUAGCACUGCACGAGCCCACUAUAGUGUGUGUGCGCGCUGUGCAACGGUGCAAGUCAGCAUCGACGACCGCAGUGCAAGCAUAUGUAGUCCGGUGACUAGCUCUCCCUUUCCAUUGGUGUUGAAAAUAGAAGUAGAGAAGAAAAUAUUGCAGCAUGUUUAGAGCUGCCAGAAACACACGACUCCUCUGUUCUUCAUGUGUGUGAGAGUUGAGACCUGACAUUGCCCAGCACUUCGGACCUGCAGUCGCCUCCACGGCCAGGCGACCGACCAUGGAGCACCACAUGACGUUCCUCUUGGCGGCCAUAACCAAUCAGCAGACCUGCCUGCAGCCCGACAUCCGCCAGAUCUUGCUUCCAUGGCCAAGAAGCUGCCCACUAAUCCUUGCGGCCUGGUGCCAGGAAGAAGAAACAGGGGUGCAGCAGCGGCGACGGCCAUCAAUCGGCGGCAGCGGCGGGAGCAUGCUGUGGCACCGUGCUCUACUGUGCAGUUGGCUAGCUUAAUAGGGCAAGAUGGGAUCCCAACGGGCUAAGUGGGAUAGCCCGAUUAACUUUUUCCCUAUCCAAUGGGAUUCCACUAAAGCAAAUUAAGUGGGAUGGACUAGUUAGUCCCACUUGAAUCCACUUCCAUCUGCAGUCUGAGUCCACUUGGUCUAGAUAGUGAGGUGCUUGCGCACGUCGCUUGUGUGAAGUGAGCAGGUCGUGUGGGAGGCGAAAUUGGUGAACACCACCGGCAGUCUAACUGCAUUGGAGCACCAAGCGGUGAGCUACAUCACCAUACGAACCGCACUGCACGCAUGCGAUGGGGGAAGCAAACGACACGCAGAUGAGCUCCGCACCACAGGGGUGCAUCGCGUGAACUGCACAGGGGGUCUACUGUUGACAUUGUCGCUGCCAUCGGGGCCAGGGAGGACCCGCUGCUGUAUACCAGGGGGGCUGCUGCGCCCGUUGGUGGCGAGGUAAGGUCCGAGGCUGGCAGGGAGGCACGUGUGGAGGGUUGGGAAGCGUCGGCGUGUGGCCGAGCUAGGUGCCGGCCCGAGCUCGAGUAAGAGGAGAUGAGGAGGCUAUCGGUGACACCCUGCUGCUCCUUGGAAGUUGGAUCAGGGAAUGAAGAGGGUCACGGCGGUGCCUGCAAAGCGCCGGUGGAGGAAGAUUGCAAUUUGCAAGAAUGGCAAUCGGAGACUGCGGGGCGGAGGAGCGGCUCACCUGUUUGACUCGUGUGGCGGCUCGGUCGUCAGAUCCAGGGGUCGACGUGGAGGAGGGCGGAUUGCAGCGAGGCGUAAGGCUGGAGUGGCGGCAACGGCGCUGGUCAGGGAGGUGCAGCGCUGGGGCGGCGGCGGCGGCGCGACCGAGCUGCACGGGGGCCGCGACCAAGCUGCACGUGGUGGGGUGGCACCCGAGUACCUACGGGUGGCGCAGAUGAGGGUCUCGCCGGAGACCGCCACGAGGAGAGGGCUCGUCGUCGACUUGAUCCAGAUCGAGGACGAAUGGCGGAUCCGGGCGUGGGGAAUGGGUGAUGCCGGGCAGGGGCGGCGGGAGACCAGCCCGAGGGGCACUAGGAGGUGCGGCCAGCUGCGGCGCCGGCGGGGGAAGAAGCCGGAUGAGGUCCGCCCUGACUCGUUGGAUGUCACCGUCGGCGCACGAUCUAGGGAGGAGAGGUCCAUGAGGGGCUCACCGGAUCUGGGGAGGAGAGGGCCACGGUGACCUCGACGCCCCACGGCCGCAGCCAUCUGGGAGGCCGGAUCCGGUGGGUUCUCGUCGUGAACCCACGGCCGGAUGCGGUGCUCGGCUACCCUUGUUGCACGAAGGAAGUGCUGGUGGCCAGGGGGGGCAGAGCGGGGAGACGGUGGUUGGAGCCACGGUGGCCGGGGCGCGAGAGAUCUGGCGGCGUCGGUGCCAGGAAGAAGGUGGGGAGCGGGGUUUCUGGUGGCGCGGGGGCCCCGGCAGAGAAGAAGGUGGGGGAGCGGUGGUUCUGGUGGCACGAUGGCCCCGACGGGGAAGAAGGUGGAGGAGCGCGUGGGGUUGCGCGGCGAUGGAGGCUCAGGGGUGGUGGAUCUAGUUCCGGUCGGGGGGACGGAAGAGUGUUAUCAGAAUAAGGCGAUUUGACGUGCAGAAUAAGCUCUUAAGGUGUUAUCAUAUAUAUACUAGCAAAAGGGCCCGUGCGUUGCAACGGGAAAAAAAUUCAUAAUCUUCAAUGGCCAUGAUCACAUUUUGCUGCAUCACUGAGAUACACUAUCACUCUCAAUUUCGUAAAAUCAUGAAUACAUUUUUAAACUCAUGAGCAUAUUUGAAAUCGUGAUCUUUUUCAAAUUCGUGAACACUUUUACAAAUUAUCAAAUAUUUCUAAAAUCAACAAAGUUUAUUGAACUCAUGAACAUUUUAUACUGUUUGCAUACAUUUUAUAAAAAAUUGUGAACAUUUUUUUAACGAUUAUCUUGAAUCAGUGAACAUUUCUUGAAUGGAUGAACAUUGUUUUUGAUAUUUUUUCCAUUCAUUUUUGAAUUGGCAAAAUUUUGUUCAAUUUCAUUAACAUUUUUAAUACACAAACUUUUUAAAAAAUCAUGAACAUUCUCUGAUUUCCCAAAAAAUUGUUUUCAAAAUUUCGAACAUUUUUUGAAUAAGCAAACAUUUUUCAUCAUGAUACUUAAGAUAACACCAAUACCUCGUGCAAACAAUAUUUAAGAGAGUACCAAUAUUUAAGGUCGAGCAGAAAUGCAUGGAUAGCAUGAGGUGAUACUAAGACAAAUCAAAUUAUAUUCAACCAUAGAUAGGAUAGGCACAUCCAUCAGUAUUGUUUUAGUUUGAUAUAUUGCUGUCCAAGAGAAUUUUAGUUUAGAGACUGUUCGGAUCUCCUCAAAUCUGUGCUUCGCCGAUUAUGCGAAGCGGAGGCUUCUUGCGGUGCAAUUUGGUGAAGCUGCCAAAGCUUAGCUUCCCAAAUCCGAAAUCAUUGGAAUGCCACCACCAAGUCAUGUGACGCUUCGUUGUGAAUUCCCCUUCUCACGAACCCUAUUGAAGCGCCUUCCCAUGACGUCGCCAGUGUCCCCUUCUAACGAGCCCGACACCGCCCACUCGCCAGCCCUCCCCUUCCUCUAUUCGUCGUGCCAUCCAUCAUUGUCUCCCUCUCCUCCCGCUGACCUCCCCAGCAACGCCCUCUUCCACACCGAUUGCCUUAUUUCUAGGGUCACCCUCUACCCCGACGUAGACCACCUCCCCGUCGUCUGCCUCCGUUUUGUUUGUGGCAACCCCUCAGCCCAUGGAAGCUGAUCAACGCGUCGUAAAUGGUGUAGCUACUCCAAGGAAGCUGGAGCUUGAACGCUUCUGAAUAGGCUUACAUCCAUGUUUGUUGCCUUGGAGUUGCCGAGGCCAGAAAUUUUUUGGCUGUGUUAACUUCAGCCAAAAAAAGUAUAUCUACUCUAGUAAUAGCUCAUCUAAAUGAAUUAUGUUUUUCACUUGUAUACUUUGCAUGUAAUCUUUCGCCAAGAUCCAACACAGAUAUAACAUCACUAACAUUCAAUUGCAAAAAAGAAACAGAAAUUACUGACAUUCAAUCCACAAUUCUAACAAUUCUCUAAUUGACCUUUUUAUUCUAUUUUCCCGAUCUAAGGUCAGGACAACAUUUUUAGAUAACACAAUGUAUCAGUAUUAUCACCACUGCUAAAAUAAAGAAAUUUAGGACAUGGUACAAAAUUCAGAAUCACUACAUCUACAGUUCAUAUGAUAAACAACAGUGGCCUGUAGCUCGUACAUGUACAGUAUCCAUGUUAGAAAGACCCCAAGUAUUUCAAAUAGACACACACACACACACACAUAUAUAUAUAUAUAGAGAGAGAGAGAGAGAGAGAAUAUUACAUUACUCGACUCUCCAAGCAUGCACACACUUGUGUUUUGCAAGACUGUGCUCUGCCCCUACAAGCAGACCGUGCUCUGCCCCUACAAGCAUGCAUGUUAAAGUAAAUAUCCUGUAUAUUUGGCAUGUAAUCAGCCCUUGCCGUAUUAUCGGAUUGUAUUCUGUCUAUGAUUGAUACGGCUGGGUCAAGUCCUUGUUUCCCAAGGCAUCUGUACAUGAUGGAUAUAUAUACUAAUAUGAGCUGAUCGCCCAAGCGUGGCGUUUCCCUCAAUUCUCCCUGUCUCUCUUGUUUACAUGGUAUCAGACUACAUCUGCAUCGCAUCUGCAUAGUUCGAUCCUUCGGCCUGCAACUAGACGCCAUGACUUCCUCCGGCCAAACCUCCGGUGCUCUUGGCGCCAUGACCUCUCCAUCUCAGCUCUCUGCCACAAACAGCGCCCUCACCACCGUCACGGCUCCUGCAUCCCCGGCCUCCAACGCAGUGCAUGUGGCCAGCGUCAAGACCCAUGUCCCCGUCGUCCUCGACCUCAAGGCGUCGAACUUUACCAAGUGGCGCAUGCUGAUCACCGUUCUCUUGGGCAAGUACGACCUCAUCGGCCAUAUAGCUGCCGCUACUCCGGCUGCUGAUCGCACGCCAGAGUGGAGCCGCGAGGACUUCGUCGUCCGCUCGUGGUUGUACGGCUCCAUUAGCGACGACAUCCUGGAUAUUAUCAUGGCGGAAGACCAGACGGCGCACGAGGCGUACACGCUCAUCCAGAACUUGUUCCUCGACAACCAGAUGACGCGCGCUGUUUAUCUCGAGGCGGAGUUCCGUGCCAUCGUUCAAGGCGAUCUCACCAUCACCGCCUAUUGUCACCGGCUCAAAUCCCUCUCUGAUGCACUCCGCGACGUCGGCCAGCCGGUGUCGGAUCAGACCUUGGUCUUGACGUGCCUACGUGGCCUCAAUUCUCGCUUCGCCGACAUCACCACUCUGGUCACCAUGCAGGUUCCGUUCCCUACGUUCCUGCAGACAAGGUCUCUCCUUCUUCUUCGUGAGACGCAGCUCUCGCACACCAUGCCUACGCCACCGCCGCAGACCGCCAUGUACGGCCACGGCGCCGGUGCCUCCUCUGGCGGUGCCUACAAUGGAGACCGCUCCUCAGGUGACCGCAACUCCGGCGGCAACGGCGGCCGCUUCCAGAAAAAGAAGAAGAACGGGGGCGUCGGUCACUACCGUGGCAACGGUGGCGAGCGUAACCACAACGGCGGUGGCUCUUCCGGUACCCACGCUGCAGCUGGUCCGUGGAUCUGCUUCAACCCCUACACGGGCCAGGCCCAGCCGCUGCCGGUCUCCUGGCGCCCCGCUGGUGGAGCAGGCCUUCUUGGACCGCGGCCUGCUGCACCCCAGCGCCCGUACGUACCUGCCCAACAGCAGUUUGCGUACGCGCCGCCCCAGCAGCAAGCGUAUACUACGCUGCUCGCUCCACUCCAUGGGCAGGCGUACGGCACUGACCCACCGCCACCGGGUACACCCUCCAGCCACGGCGCUCCAGCUUGGGACUGCUCGGCGCUCAUGGCUGCCCUAAAUAAUGCUGCUGCAUCAUCUUCAUCCGCUGGUGAAUGGAUCAUGGACUCGGGAGCCACCUCCCAUAUGGUUUCCAACCCUGGUAUAAUCUCUCUUCCUUCCAAACCGCCUCCGUUUUCUCAUAUCACCGUCGGCAAUGGGGUCACUUUACCCGUUGUCUCCACCGGCCACAUGACUUUGCCUACUUCGGCACGUACCUUUGCUCUCAAUAAUGUCCUUGUCGUUCCUGAUAUUAUUAAAAAUCUUCUUUCUACUCGCAAAUUUAGUACCGAUAAUUCUUGUUCUGUGGAGUUUGACCCUCUUGGUUUUUCCAUCAAGGAUCUUCGAACCAGGCGCGAGAUCACACGCUGCAAUAGUCCCGGUCCUCUCUACACCGUCUCCGCCGCCGCCAACCCGUCAUCUACUUUUGGACUCCUCGCAUCAUCCGACUCCACCGAGCUAUGGCAUCGUCGAUUAGGUCAUCCAGGUCGUGACGCUAUGUCACAUUUAUCAAAACAGUUUGCUAUUCCUUGUAAUAAUGCAGCCGUUUCAGUCUGCCAUGCGUGUCAACUUGGCAAGCAUGUUCAUUUGCCGUUUUCUAGGUCUAAAACUUUUAGUGUGGUGCCUUUUCAGUUAAUUCACUGUGAUUUGUGGACAUCUCCUAUUCCGAGUAAUUCUGGUUUAAAAUACUAUCUUGUUAUUGUCGAUGAUUACUCCCACUACAUGUGGACAUUUCCUCUCCGCCAUAAGUCAGAUGCAACCACUGUGAUUACUAACUUUGUGGCAUUUGCACGCACACAGUUUGACCUUCCCGUUGUUGCCAUGCAAGCCGACAAUGGCACUGAGUUUGUCAACUCCACAUUGUCCACCUUCUUUACUGGUCACGGCAUCCAUCUUCGCCUUUCAUGUCCCUACACAUCUCCACAAAAUGGAAAAGCCGAGCGUGCUCUUCGCACCCUCAAUGAUAUUACUCGUACACUUCUCUUCCAAGCCCACAUGCCCUCCUCUUAUUGGGCUGAAGCUCUUGCUGCUGCUACCUAUCUUCUAAACCGACGACCUUCUCAGCCUAUUGGGUUUUCCAUCCCAUACGAGCUUCUUUAUCGCAUGCCCGCUUCCUAUGCCGAGCUACGUGUUUUCGGAUGCCUUUGCUACCCAAACCAAUCUGCCACAGCAAAACACAAAUUAUGCCCUCGCUCCACUGCAUGUGUUUUUCUUGGAUACCCCUCCUCACAUCGUGGCUAUCGUUGUCUUGAUCUUUCAAGUCGGCGUAUAAUCACUUCUCGUCAUGUCAUUUUCGACGAACAUACAUUUCCGUUUGCUAGUAUUAACCCUGCUCCUUCCGCUACAUCUCUCGACUUUCUUCUGGAUUUAGUAGCCACCGAGCCACCUCCAUUCACUCCUUCCCUCACGCAUGCUCCUGUUGCACCACAUGCACGUACUACUGAUCCACGUACUACUGCAUGUCCUAGCUCAGGUGCUAGUUCCUGUCCUAGCUCGCCCAUGCAUCAGCCACACUCACCAGCACCUGAUUCUCCUCCUAUGCAUGCCUCGCCUACCUCGGCCAACUCUCCCGCACCUGUCGCUUCGCCGGCGCAAGCUGCUGCACCAGAAACCCAGCCAAAAACCCAACGUGGACGUACUGUCUCUCGCACCGAACCAGCCACCAACACACACCAUAUGCUGACACGCCUCAAGCACGGCAUUGUCCAACCGGUUGAUCGCCUUAAUCUUUCGGCUGUUCACACCUCCAUUUCUCCUAUUCCUAAAACAUACCGGGGUGCCCUCCAUGAUCCUAACUGGCGUAGUGCAAUGGCUGAUGAAUAUAAUGCACUAAUUCAUAAUCGCACAUGGACCCUGGUUCCUUGUCCGGUUGGUGCUAAUGUUGUUUCAGGUAAAUGGAUCUUCAAGCAUAAGUUCGCAUCUGAUGGUGGCCUUGCUCGCUACAAGGCUCGAUGGGUGGUUCGUGGCUUUUCUCAGCAGCCGGGCGUCGACUUUGACGAGACAUUUAGCCCCGUCGUCAAGCCUGCCACCAUCCGCGUCGUCCUCACCAUCGCGGCUUCUCGUGGCUGGCCGGUUCACCAACUCGAUGUCAAAAAUGCCUUUCUCCAUGGCACAAUUGACGAGGUGGUGUACUGUGAGCAGCCCCCUGGCUUUAUCGACUCGGCUCGUCCUCAUCACGUGUGUCGCCUUCACAAGUCGCUCUACGGUCUCAAGCAGGCUCCGAGGGCAUGGUACCAACGCUUCGCCCACUAUGCUCAUCGCCUCGGCUUCGUCGCAUCUCUUUGUGAUGCUUCUCUCUUCAUACUUCGACAAGGCGAUGAGCUUGCGUACCUACUGUUGUACGUUGAUGAUAUCAUCCUCACAGCUUCGAGUUCGGAUCUACUACAGCACAUCACCGACAUGCUUCACCGCGAGUUCUCUAUGACGGAUCUCGGGGAUCUAUCCUAUUUCCUCGGGAUUUCGGUCUCUCGCUCGUCAUCGGGGAUGCUUUUAUCCCAACGCCAGUACGCCAUCGACCUUCUUCACCGUGCCGGCAUGCUUGAUUGCAACCCGUGUGCCACCCCCAUCGACACUCGUUGCAAGCUCUCCGCCGAUGAGGGUCCUCUCGUUGACGAUCCCACGGAGUACCGCAGUUUUGCCGGUGCACUUCAGUACUUGACACUGACACGUCCUGACAUAGCUCACGCUGUACAACAGGCAUGUUUGUACAUGCAUGCACCACGGGAGCCGCAUCUAAACCUUGUAAAGAGGAUUCUUCGCUAUGUCAAGGGCACAUUGGAUCUUGGUCUUCGCCUCCACUCGACACCGGCUACGUCUCUCACGGCCUACUCCGACGCUGACUGGGCAGGUUGUCCCAACACUCGUCGCUCCACUUCUGGCUACUGUGUUUACCUUGGGGACAACCUUGUGUCAUGGUCUUCCAAGCGCCAGGCUAUAGUCUCCCGCUCUAGUGCCGAGGCGGAGUAUCGCGCAGUGGCCCAUGCUGUAGCUGAGUGUUGUUGGCUCCGUCAGCUUCUUCAUGAGCUUCAUCGACCCCUCCACUCCGCGACCAUCGUCUUUUGCGACAAUGUCAGUGCUGUCUACAUGGCCUCCAACCCUGUGCAACAUCGCCGCACGAAGCAUAUUGAGAUUGACAUCCAUUUUGUUCGUGAAAAGGUGUCUCUCGGGCAGAUUCGGGUUCUUCAUGUGCCAUCGUCUCAACAGUUCGCUGACAUCAUGACGAAGGGUCUACCGUCUCAGCUCUUUUUGGACUUUCGGUACAGCCUGUGCGUUCGUCCUCCCGACGCACUGCCUGAGGGGGGAUGUUAAAGUAAAUAUCCUGUAUAUUUGGCAUGUAAUCAGCCCUUGCCGUAUUAUCGGAUUGUAUUCUGUCUAUGAUUGAUACGGCUGGGUCAAGUCCUUGUUUCCCAAGGCAUCUGUACAUGAUGGAUAUAUAUACUAAUAUGAGCUGAUCGCCCAAGCGUGGCGUUUCCCUCAAUUCUCCCUGUCUCUCUUGUUUACAAUGCACACACUUGUGUUUUGCAAGAUACACAACCAGAUUAUGGACAGAUAAUAUACAACAUCUGGUUUGAUGAUGCCCUUGUUCUUGGUAACCUACAACAAAAACAACUAAUCAUUUUCAUCUUCUGUUAGAGAUAGGGGUUUGUUGUACUGCGGGUACUACUAUAGGACAAGGGUUUAGAUUCUCUAUUGUUCUUUCUUGUCUAAAAAUGAAUAAGAAAAAUUAUAUCUUCAUCAAUGAUGUUGGCAAAAUUCUAUGAAGUCCUUCUAGCUGGUAAAUCAUUCAAACUAAUGGCGAUGUUUCCCUACCACCAUACAGGAAAACUUUGUAGCCUGACUGGAUCUCCUAUGAUUGCAGCAAGGAAUUUGCGUCAUUGCCACACUCUAAAACUGGAAUUUGUCUUUCAGGGAGACUGUGUCGAGUGACAAUGGACCUUAGCUUCUGUCAUAUAAGAAGAUCCUAUAUGACAAACUCUACUUCACGAAUUGGAGUAAGACAACUAUUGUCAUUAUUCUUCUGAACAACUAAUAAAAUGAAAUCAUCGACAUCCAACUCACAUUUAGCAUGCAUACGUCACGAAGCACGUCCUUCUUCCAGAAUAAAUAAUAGUAUAAUUCUCAGAAAACAUAUUCUGUUUUGACUGACUUAUGGAAAACAGAAGUUUUAGAAUGUUUUCUUCCCUGACAGAAACUUGCUUUGCUUCCCUCACACUAUUAGUUCCAAUACAACAUAUCAGAUACAGGUUUUUUUUAUUGAUUUUCUUUUUAUGAAAGAAACAUGCAUGUGUAGAACGUAAUGAUAUCAUGUUUAGAGUUAACUACCGAACAUUAAAUGUUUGGCACGUAGCAUUUUUGCAGCUUGAUAGACAAUCAUAGAGUUAUUGCAAAAGCAGGAGCAUGUACCAGAUAAUUUGCAGAAUCACAACAUCUGGAGGUGUCUUCAAAGUUACAGGACUGUUCUAUGUCACAUAAAAAAGUUAAAUCGCUAUUAGAUUAAGGGACUGCAUUCCUUCUCCAAAUUACUACUCGUAAAAUUUUGCAAACAGGCCCAAAUGCAGAUUUGUAUGAACAACCUAAACUAUGCGAUUGCAGUUUCAGACUUUUAAUACCACUUGACACCAAUAUUAUCAGAAGUAUAGAUGGAAGUGCAUACUACGCGUUUAUCACAUCGACUUGUGAUAACCGAAAGGAUAACUAAGCACAAUGUGCACAUGAACCACAAUGCUAAUUCAAGUCCAAUAAACCAUGUGAAUUUUCAGGAAAAGAAUGUUAUGUGAUCCAAAUGAAAUUGUUAUUUAGAUAUACAUAGUGUCGAUCGAAACUACUGUGGCCUUAAGAGAAGCAGUAGACAUCGAGCUAGAAACAUACUACAGGUAGAUAACAUAAGUGCCAGGAUCCAAUAUUCAGUAAGAACAAUUAAAGCACCAAGUAGCCAAAUCAAAAUAUGUCCAUUUGCGCCUUUGUACAGAGAUUGAACAUGCUGAAACGCAGUGGAAGUAAAUCACAUGGGUAGCUGGUUAUAUUGUCUUAAAGUGAUCUUCUCAUACUGGAACCAUACAGAAAGUAAAUAGCAGAUUAUAUCGUCCUAAGUGAUCUUGCUAGAGAGGAUUAUCUAGAGAAAUGAUAAAGGAGAAAUAUAACCAACCUUGACCUGUUUGCAGCAUUUGGCCCCCAAGGCAACCUGGGUCAUUUACAAAUCCAGAUUUUAUACACCUCAUAGUCACCGGCAUCUUGCCACAAUAGGCCAAUACCUAGCCACUCAUAGUACCAUCAUCGUCCAUUGUUCUGGCCUGUUGCAUUCCUGGAUUGCAGUACACCUGAAAUUGUAGGAGUUCAUAACCUGGACACCACAGAGAAAGCUUCAUUGGUUGAGAAAAUUCGUUGCUUUUCACCACCUGCUGUAAGGGAAAGUACCAAUCACCCCAUUGAUCCUCCCUCUAAUAUCAACAAGCUGACAAAGUGGCAAUGGAGACCAAGGCUUAGCAUAUUAUUUCAAUCGAUUUGUCUACAACUUGUGUAUGUCCUGCAGAUUGAAAUUGAAGCGGUGAAGACCCUCUGGAAGGCAAGCCAAAGGAAGAGCACAAGUUUGUUAGGGAGGAGCGGCUGGGACUGCCCAGGCACAACAGAUCGGGAGUAGCAGCUACGAUCGUCGGGGCGGGAGCGCCGCUACCAUGGCAUAGAGAUG